AAAUGGCAAAAACGACAGAAAAAAAAAAAAAAAAGAAUGGAGUUGAACUCAUAACGCCUAUUAUAAAGAAAAAUUUACUGAAAAAGAAUCAAAGACAUAAAUGUAAGAACUAUAUUCUCUUGAUUAGAAGCAUUAUGGUUCCCAUCCAUAGUUAAGGAGGGGGGAUUAUGCAGGAUGUGACUAUCCUGAGGUGGAGGUCAUUCAAGGCUGUCUUAGGCUUUUUUUUGUUUUUGUUUUUUUUGUUUUUUUAGGGCCGCACCUGCAGCAUAUGGAAGUUCCCAGGCUUCCAUAUGGGUCAAAUCAGAGCUGCAGCUGCUGGCCUACACCACAGCAACACGGGAUCUAGCCGCACCUUCGACCUUACCCAGCUCGUGGCAACACGGGAUCCCCAACCCCCUGAGCGAGGCCAGGGAUUGAACCUGCAUCCUCAUGGAUACUAGUUGGGUUUGCAACCUGUUGAGCCACAACGGGAACUCCUGUCUUAUGGUUUGUUUGCUCUAGCGUUUAGGUAUAUAUACUUAAGUUCUUCCUUUCUCCAAAAACCUCAGAGAAAAUGGACAGUGGGAUAGAAAGUCAACAGUUAAUAUAUGACAGACAACUUGAGGAAGAGUAGCAAAUAAAACAUCAAAGCCUAAGUAACAAGGAAAACAUGGUUACAUUUCAAAGAAAGAAUUAUAGUCAGAAAGAAAUUAAACAAUGAAAAGACUCCUAACGUCUUCUAAGAUUGAAUUUGUGAGUAAGAGUUCCAUGAAAUUAUAUAGCUGAAAAGAAGCAAGUUUACCUGGAGGUCUUGGAGCCUAUGUAGAAAAAGAAAACAGUGUUUUGGGUGACAUGAACUGGUUUGGCCUAUUAUAGUCUUCGGAGAAAAUUUCCCGUGAUUUAUAGUUUUCUUCAUUAAUGUUUGAUGUAUGUAUUUUAAAUUUGUUUUUUAUUGGAUAUCUCAGUAUAGCUUUGAGGGUGAAGGGUUUUUGCUCUUAUCAAAUUAUGUAGUUGCAUUAGUACUGGGUAAUAGGGAAAAAGUUGGCCACUUUGUUCUAUUAAACUAAUUAUCUAGUAUAUCUGUAGAGUUCAUGAAUAAUUACAUGGCUGGAAAUGCUAUAUAUCAUUUUUUACACAUACAUAGUAAAAUGCACCAUCAUGCUAAUAGAUUUUCUAUUUUUUAAUAUAGGAUCCAAAUGAAGAUACAGAAUGGAAUGAAAUUUUAAGAGAUUUUGGCAUUCUUCCUCCAAAAGAAGAGCCCAAAGAUGAAGUUGAAGAAAUGGUUUUACAUUUACAGAAGGAAGCAAUGGUUAAACCAUAUGAAAAGAUGACUCUUGAACAGUUGAAGGAAGUUGAAGAUGAAUUUGAUGAUGAAGAUAUGAGAGCUAUUGAAAUAUAUAGAGAGAAGCGAUUACAGGAAUGGAAAGCUCUUAAGAAAAAACAAAAAUUUGGGGAAUUAAGAGAAAUUUCUGGAACUCAGUAUGUGGAUGAAGUCACAAAUGCAGAAAAAGAUGUGUGGGUUAUAAUCCAUCUGUACAGGUCAAGAGCUUGAAUGGAAGCUAGCAGAAGUUGGAGCAGUACAGACUGAUUUGGAAGAAAAUCCCAAAAAAGGCAUUAUAGAUGUGAUGGUAUCUUCAAUUAGAAACACUUCUAUUUGUGAUGACACUAACAGUUCCAACAGUGAUAAUGAUGACGCUUAAUAAAUAGCUUUAAAGUGUUUAUAUAUGAAAAGUUUUGUUUGCCACUGCCUCUAUAGUCAGAGAUCAGAAAACUUAUAAAUUGAUUUAUUUUCACUUUUAUAUUAAAACUUAUAUGUCAUUACAAAAACUUCCAGGUAUUUCAGAAUAUUCGCUGCCUCCAACAAACCAGAAUUUGUACUGAACCUUUAAUAUUUUUCUCUGGUUUAUCCUUUUUCUGAUCCUACUUGGACAAAAACAAAAAUGUUACAAGUCCUCUAUGUUGCCUACUCACUUUCAAAGAAGCCUAUGAAUGAAAAUAAUCAAGGAGAACCUUGAAAUUCAUCUCAUUUAUGUCAAUAGAUAUUAAAGAUUAUCAUUUAGGGGUUUUGAGUGAAAAUACAUAAAUUUAUGACAAUACACUUUUUCUCUGAAAUCUCUUACCUGUUAAAAAAAAUUAACCAUUCAAUAGAAAAAUGCAAUUUAAAGAUUUUGAAAAGUACAUAAGAAACAUCUUCACCCAUUAUUACAGUUUUUAGUAGUUCUAUUAUUAAGCUAGAAAAUAUUAAGUAAGUAAUCUCACUAACAGAUUAUAGAAUCAUGAGAACUAUGAGACAUGUAAGUUUCUAAAUCAUGAGAAGUGGGAGAAAUACGUUGUGGAGUUUACCUAUGUUAUAAUAGAAGAAUUCAUCAUGAGAAAACAUGUAAUCUUAGGACACUAUAGAAGACCAGCUUAAUAAUUAUUUUGACUUAAUAAUUAACACUGGUUUUAGAAAAAAUGGUGGUAAAUCCAGCAUGUAAUUGCGGGACUUCAAGCCUUCUCCAAGUAAAUAAAACUCAAAAAGCCUCUGGCAGAGAUAAGAAUUGCCAGACCCUUAUCAUCCCACUGGUCUCACUGUCAUUGUCACAAUGUUCCUGAGGACCUCCCCACCAUAGCACCUUGGCCUGCUCCUUCCUGCCUCACACUAGAAAAGGUAUGUGGCCCACUCCUUACCCCUCCCCUAUAGGGGAAACAUAUGCCCCCAACAAACCAGCAGGUGUAUCAGAAGACCCCAUCCUGCCCCAACCAAUUAGCAGGUCAGCAGAUGUAUAAGACCACUCCUCCCACUCCUUGUCUCUGGGCUAUAAAAACAGGACCAUGUGCCCAGAGUUAGCUUUUCCUGACUAUCAGGAAGUUGGCCCACCGUGUUAACAGUGCCUCUUGACUCAUUAAAUUUGCCUUUUCUACACCUUGGUUUAAAUCUGAAAAAUUCUUUUUCCACCUGCAUGCAGAGGCCACAACAGUAAUUAGUUCAAUAACAGAUUUUAUCCUUCUACUUGGUAUUGGCCCAUCAUUCUUUUUUUUGGUUAUGUUGCUGUAUUAUUUAUUUCAUUUAAUUCAAGUUCUUCAUUUUUCUUUUUAAAUUUUUUUGUAUUAUUGUUGAUUUACAAUGUUCUGUCAAUUUGAUGACCCAUUGUUCUGAUUAUGGAUAUUCACUGAUAUUUGUGAGAGAAUCUAUACUCUUUAAAUGGUUAGAUUACACAAAUAAAUUGGUGAAAAUUGAGGCAGUUAAACACAGAGUCAGAAAAUGCUCUUUGCUGUUCCUGGGAGUGGGUAGGUAUCAUGGAGGCUGCUGAGAGCGAUGAAGCAGAAGGAAAGUUAAAAACAGGUUGAGUAAGAUAACAAUUUAUUUCACCAGAUAAAGUCAAAUGAUCUAACUUUGGAAAGAAUUAGGAAGACCCCCUUUCUUCUGAGAUAGGAAAGAAAGGCUUUUGAAAAUGUUCCUAUUUGGAUGAAGGGAAGGAAAGUUGGGAGCUGCAUACAAUGGCCUUUACUAUAGCUUUAUGCACCCAUGUAAGAGAAAUAAUU
Non-coding RNA from Sus scrofa (pig), 3504 nucleotides. The record is from RefSeq and is a predicted model, not a curated record. Lineage: Eukaryota; Metazoa; Chordata; Mammalia; Artiodactyla; Suidae.